AAAAAAGACAAACCUGAGUUUCCAUGUCCAACGUUUGACUGUCCAUCUUAUAUGAAAUUUUUUUAUAAUUAGUACUUUCAUUGUUGUUAGAUGAUAAAACAUGAUUAAUACUUUAUGUGUGACUUAUCUUUUUAAUUUUUUUCAUAUUUUUUUCAAAUAAGAUGGACGGUCAAACGUUGGACACGGAAACUCAGGGUUCGUCUUUUU
Oryza sativa Japonica Group (Japanese rice) is the source of this 207-nucleotide microRNA precursor. It matches the Rfam family "MIR812 microRNA precursor family". NCBI's taxonomy places the organism in Eukaryota, Viridiplantae, Streptophyta, Magnoliopsida, Poales, Poaceae. The record is from Rfam.